UCGGAUCUAGUGGCGCACGGGUGAGUAACGCGUGGGAACCUACCUUUUAGUACGGGACAACGUUUGGAAACGAACGCUAAUACCGUAUACGCCCUCCGGGGGAAAGGUCAGCCGCUGAAAGAGGGGCCCGCGUCUGAUUAGCUUGUUGGUAAGGUAAUGGCUUACCAAGGCUACGAUCAGUAGCUGGUCUGAGAGGAUGAUCAGCCACACUGGGACUGAGACACGGCCCAGACUCCUACGGGAGGCAGCAGUGGGGAAUAUUGGACAAUGGAGGCAACUCUGAUCCAGCAAUGCCGCGUGUGUGAUGAAGGCCCUAGGGUUGUAAAGCACUUUCAACGGUGAAGAUGAUGACGGUAGCCGUAGAAGAAGCCCCGGCUAACUUCGUGCCAGCAGCCGCGGUAAUACGAAGGGGGCGAGCGUUAUUCGGAAUUAUUGGGCGUAAAGGGCUCGCAGGCUGCUUGAACAGUUAGACGUGAAAUCCCCGGGCUCAACCUGNGAACUGCGUUUAAUACUAGCAAGCUAGAGAGAUAGAGAGGAAAGUGGAACUCCCAGUGUAGAGGUGAAAUUCGUAGAUAUUGGGAAGAACACCAGUGGCGAAAGCGACUUUCUGGCU
RNAcentral lists this ribosomal RNA (613 nucleotides) under uncultured bacterium. Its description in RNAcentral is "bacterial SSU rRNA". It matches the Rfam family "Bacterial small subunit ribosomal RNA", at positions 86 to 734 of the family's 1533-position model. The record is from RNAcentral.